GAGGGUAUAGCUCAGUGGUAGAGCACAUACUUAGAAUGCGUGGUCCUGGGUUCAAUCCCCCGUACCUCCA
Molecule: transfer RNA, 70 nt
Filed under: Camelus bactrianus (Bactrian camel)
Lineage: Eukaryota; Metazoa; Chordata; Mammalia; Artiodactyla; Camelidae
Also listed under: 1 other name
Rfam family: tRNA
About the family: Transfer RNA (tRNA) molecules are approximately 80 nucleotides in length. Their secondary structure includes four short double-helical elements and three loops (D, anti-codon, and T loops).
Source: Rfam by way of RNAcentral